GAUCCUGGCUCAGGAUGAACGCUGGCGGCGUGUCUAACACAUGCAAGUCGAGCGAAGCACUUUGCUUAGAUUCUUCGGAUGAAGAGGAUUGUGACUGAGCGGCCGGACGGGGUGAGUAACGCGUGGGUAACCUGCCUCAUACAGGGGGAUAACAGUUAGAAAUGACUGCUAAUACCGCAUAAGACCACAGCACCGCAUGGUGCGGGGGGUAAAAACUCCGGUGGUAUGAGAUGGACCCGCG
Molecule: ribosomal RNA, 241 nt
Filed under: uncultured bacterium
Lineage: Bacteria
Description: partial 16S ribosomal RNA
Rfam family: Bacterial small subunit ribosomal RNA
Source: RNAcentral